UACAGAGGUCUCAAGCGUUGUUCGGAUUCAUUGGGCGUAAAGAGCGCGUAGGCGGCCAGAUAAGUCCGGUGUGAAAGUCACAGGCUCAACCUGUGAAUGCCGCUGGAAACUGUCUGGCUAGAGUCCGGAAGGGGCGAGUGGAAUUCCUGGUGUAGCGGUGAAAUGCGCAGAUAUCAGGAGGAACACCAAUGGCGAAGGCAGCUCGCUGGGACGGUACUGACGCUGAGACGCGAAAGCGUGGGGAGCGAACAGG
This 253-nucleotide ribosomal RNA is filed under the name uncultured bacterium. RNAcentral describes it as "partial 16S ribosomal RNA". It matches the Rfam family "Bacterial small subunit ribosomal RNA", at positions 524 to 776 of the family's 1533-position model. The record is from RNAcentral.